AAUAGAAAUUUAGAUAUAUCACAUAUAGAAUAAGAUCAUAUAGUAAACACAAAAAGAAAAUAUUUUUUACAAUUUCAUGGCAACUUAUCAUCGUGAUAGAAAAUCUACAUCAUGGGUUCGAACAAUCACUUCUCCAUUUAGAAAAGCUCGAACUUUAUUCAAUCAAGAAUCAUCGAGGGAUAAGAAGUCACAUCAAGAAGGGCCGGAGAACCAUAUGGUAAAUUUGCAAGUGGAAGUAAUGGCUUGUUCAUAUGAUGAUGUUCAAGUGAUGUGGUCAAUUUUAGACAAGUCAAACACAAGAACUUGAACUUUUUUUUUGUUGUUGUUGGACAAUAUAUCAAGUAUCAAGAAUCAAGCAAUUUAUGUACAUAGUUGCUAGUGUCUUGAAAGGGAGCUUGCUAACAACGAUAAAUUUGUUUCCGUGUGAUUUAUACGUCAAGGGUUCAAGCCGUGCAAGUUGAUACGACCCUUUUUCUGAAUUUUCUGUAAAACGGGAUGUUCUGUGUACCGAACUGUCUGUUUUUUUUUUUAGUUGCUAAUUGUCUCGUGGAUGUGGUGUGGCUAUACUCUUUGACACCCAAAAGCAAGAUUUGGUAAAAUUUGUUAAUGCUUCUUAGUUUGGUUAGGUAGAAAAAACAAGUGACAAAUUGGUUGUUAUUCAAGUUAUUAACUUGUUUUUUAUGCCAAUUUGUUCAAUCCCUAUGAUCAAUAAAUAUCAUGGAGAGAUUUCAAUUGUAUUUGGAUUUGUAUUGUAAUUUUACAAUUAAAGGGUUGUUUUGAUUCACAAACAAAUUAUGCAAUAAUUGUUUAUGUGAUGAAAUAUCAAUGAUAUGGUUAUUAUGAUGUGGUCAAA
Molecule: long non-coding RNA, 853 nt
Organism: Solanum lycopersicum (tomato)
Lineage: Eukaryota; Viridiplantae; Streptophyta; Magnoliopsida; Solanales; Solanaceae
Source: RefSeq, a predicted model, not a curated record